This is a non-coding RNA of Ceratobasidium sp. AG-Ba, 104 nucleotides long. Lineage: Eukaryota; Fungi; Basidiomycota; Agaricomycetes; Cantharellales; Ceratobasidiaceae. The record is from the annotation of a GenBank genome assembly.
GGGCAUGUAGUGUAGGGGUUAUCGCGCCUCAUUCGCAGAUUCCGGCAAUCAAAUUCCGGCAAUUCGGCUUGAGGAGGUCUCCGGUUCAAUUCCGGACUUGUCCA